This 592-nucleotide ribosomal RNA is filed under the name uncultured bacterium. RNAcentral describes it as "bacterial SSU rRNA". It matches the Rfam family "Bacterial small subunit ribosomal RNA", at positions 338 to 1415 of the family's 1533-position model. The record is from RNAcentral.
CCUACGGGAGGCAGCAGUGAGGAAUUUUCCGCAAUGGGCGAAAGCCUGACGGAGCAAUACCGCGUGAGGGAUGAAGGAUUUUGGUCUGUAAACCUCUUUUCUCAAGAAAGAAGUUCUGACGGUACUUGAGGAAUAAGCAUCGGCUAACUCCGUGCCAGCAGCCGCGGUAAUACGGGGGAUGCAAGCGUUAUCCGGAAUGAUUGGGCGUAAAGCGCCUGUAGGUUGUUUAUUAAGUCCGUUGUUAAAGCCUAGGGCUUAACCCUAGAAAAGCAAUGGAAACUAGUAGACUAGAGUAUGGCAGGGGUAGAGGGAAUUUCUAGUGUAGCGGUGAAAUGCGUAGAUAUUAGAAAGAACACCGGUGGCGAAAGCGCUCUACUGGACCAUUACUGACACUCAGAGGCGAAAGCUAGGGUAGCAAAAGGGAUUAGAUACCCCUGUAGUCCUAGCCGUAAACGAUGGAUACUAGAUGUUGUGCAUUAUGUACAGUAUCGUAGCUAACGCGUUAAGUAUCCCGCCUGGGGAGUACGCUCGCAAGGGUGAAACUCAAAGAUAGUACGCGCGAGAGAGCGACGACGACGACGACGGAGGAGAG